CAGUCGUACCUAUGGGUAAUCAGCCUUUUGGGUGUGAUUUUGUGGAGCGUGAGGAGUUAAACGCCUUCAUGCCUGCAUAUUCGUGCACUUUGGGUGUACUUGCCCGUAUGGUUGGUUAACAUCAAUUUUGGUGGUCAUAAAAUGACUGGAGGAAUGUAGCUUCGAUCUUGUAUUGAAGUGUUAUAGCCUUCGGUAGAUGUGAUGAUCGAGAUUGAGGAUUGCAACGGAUACCCUUCGGGGCUACCUGUCUGAUCUCUGAUCGUUGCUCUGGUGCCGAAAGCUUGCUUACGGUUAUCAAAGUCGAUGGUCAAUAGGUUAGAACGGGUUAAA
RNAcentral lists this ribosomal RNA (330 nucleotides) under uncultured Glomeromycotina. RNAcentral describes it as "eukaryotic LSU rRNA". The record is from RNAcentral. Lineage: Eukaryota; Fungi; Glomeromycota.